Molecule: ribosomal RNA, 264 nt
Filed under: uncultured prokaryote
Description: partial 16S ribosomal RNA
Rfam family: Bacterial small subunit ribosomal RNA
Source: RNAcentral
CACGUAGGAGGCAAACGUUAUCCGGAUUCACUGGGCGUAAUGCGCGUGUAGGUGGUUCUGUAAGUAGGGCGUGAAAGCUCCCGGCUCAACUGGGAGAGGCCGUACUAAACUGCAGAGCUAGAGGAUGGUAGAGGGAGGUGGAAUUCCAGGUGUAGUGGUGAAAUGCGCAGAUAUCUGGAGGAACACCAGUGGCGAAGGCGGCCUCCUGGACCAUUCCUGACACUCAGACGCGAAAGCUAGGGUAGCAAACGGAUUAGAUACCCG